ACGGCUCAGUAACACGUUGAUAACCUACCUUUAGGUUCAGGAUAACCUCGGGAAACUAAGGAUAACACUGAAUAGGAGAUAUAAUCUGUGAUGGUUUGUCUCUUAAAGGUAACGCCUAAAGAUGGGUCAGCGGCAGAUUAGAUAGUUGGUGAGGUAAUGGCUCACCAAGUCGAGGAUCUGUACGGGCUUUGAGAGAAGUUGCCCGGAGAGGGACACUGAGACACUGGUCCCAGCCCCACGGGGUGCAGCAGGCGCGAAAACUUUACAAUGCACGAAAGUGUGAUAAGGGAAUCCCGAGUGCUUACGUCUCUACGUAGGCUUUUGCCAAGAGUAAAUACCUUGGCGAAUAAGUGGUGGGAAAGACCGGUGCCAGCAGCCGCGGUAACACCGGCGCCACUAGUGGGAGCCACGUUUAUUUGGCCUAAAGCGUCCGUAGCCGGCUUAAUAACUCUUUUGUGAAAUCACUGCGCUUAACGUAGUGGCGUGCAGAAGAAACUGUUAGGCUUGAGACCGGAAGGAGUUAGAAGAAUUCUUGGGGGAGCGGUAAAAUGCUAUAAUCCCAAGAGGACUACCUGUGGCGAAGGCGUCUAACUAGCACGGUUCUGACGGUGAGGGACGAAAGCCAGGGGAGCGAUCCGGAUUAGAUACCCGAGUAGUCCUGGCCGUAAACGCUGUGGGCUAGAUGUUGCACAUUCCACGAGAAUGCGCAGUAUCGGAGCGAAGGCGUUAAGCCCACCGCCUGGGAAGUACGGUCGCAAGGCUGAAACUUAAAGGAAUUGGCGGGGGAGCAC
RNAcentral lists this ribosomal RNA (791 nucleotides) under uncultured archaeon. RNAcentral describes it as "bacterial SSU rRNA". It matches the Rfam family "Archaeal small subunit ribosomal RNA", at positions 85 to 879 of the family's 1478-position model. The record is from RNAcentral.